Molecule: ribosomal RNA, 1366 nt
Filed under: uncultured bacterium
Lineage: Bacteria
Description: bacterial SSU rRNA
Rfam family: Bacterial small subunit ribosomal RNA
Source: RNAcentral
GAUCCUGGCUCAGGACGAACGCUGUCGGCGCGCCUAACACAUGCAAGUCGAACGAGCGAGAGAGAGCUUGCUUUCUCGAGCGAGUGGCGAACGGGUGAGUAACGCGUGAGGAACCUGCCUCAAAGAGGGGGACAACAGUUGGAAACGACUGCUAAUACCGCAUAAGCCCACAGCUCGGCAUCGAGCAGAGGGAAAAGGAGCAAUCCGCUUUGAGAUGGCCUCGCGUCCGAUUAGCUAGUUGGUGAGGUAAUGGCCCACCAAGGCGACGAUCGGUAGCCGGACUGAGAGGUUGAACGGCCACAUUGGGACUGAGACACGGCCCAGACUCCUACGGGAGGCAGCAGUGGGGAAUAUUGCACAAUGGGGGAAACCCUGAUGCAGCGACGCCGCGUGGAGGAAGAAGGUCUUCGGAUUGUAAACUCCUGUUGUUGAGGAAGAUAAUGACGGUACUCAACAAGGAAGUGACGGCUAACUACGUGCCAGCAGCCGCGGUAUAACGUACGUCACAAGCGUUGUCCGGAAUUACUGGGUGUAAAGGGAGCGCACGCGGGAGGACAAGUCGGAAGUGAAAUCUAUGGGCUCAACCCAUAAACUGGCUUCAAGACUGUCUUUCUUGAGUAGUGCAGAGGUAGGCGGAAUUCCCGGUGUAGCGGUGGAAUGCGUAGAUAUCGGGAGGAACACCAGUGGCGAAGGCGGCCUACUGGGCACCAACUGACGCUGAGGCUCGAAAGUGUGGGUAGCANACAGGAUUAGAUACCCUGGUAGUCCACACCGUAAACGAUGAUUACUAGGUGUUGGAGGAUUGACCCCUUCAGUGCCGCAGUUAACACAAUAAGUAAUCCACCUGGGGAGUACGACCGCAAGGUUGAAACUCAAAGGAAUUGACGGGGGCCCGCACAAGCAGUGGAGUAUGUGGUUUAAUUCGACGCAACGCGAAGAACCUUACCAAGUCUUGACAUCCUGCGACGCACAUAGAAAUAUGUGUUUCCUUCGGGACGCAGAGACAGGUGGUGCAUGGUUGUCGUCAGCUCGUGUCGUGAGAUGUUGGGUUAAGUCCCGCAACGAGCGCAACCCUUACUGUCAGUUACUACGCAAGAGGACUCUGGCAGGACUGCCGUUGACAAAACGGAGGAAGGUGGGGAUGACGUCAAAUCAUCAUGCCCUUUAUGACUUGGGCUACACACGUACUACAAUGGCGUUAAACAAAGAGAAGCAAGACCGCGAGGUGGAGCAAAACUCAGAAACAACGUCCCAGUUCGGACUGCAGGCUGCAACUCGCCUGCACGAAGUCGGAAUUGCUAGUAAUCGUGGAUCAGCAUGCCACGGUGAAUACGUUCCNCGGGCCCUUGUACACACCGCCCCGUNC